CAACGCUAUAUUCGCCCACAACUUCAGUUCGGUCAACUUCGUCAUUUAGUGGUGACCGAAACUUCGAUGUGUGUGGUAGUGAAGUUAACUUUUCUAACAUAGUAUUCUCACAAAAUAACAAUAACCAAUUACUAAAGUACAAUUACCAUUUGAACGUGUUCUUUACAAACAUUUUAACGUGUCAUAAGUUGUAUAAAUUGUAAUCAAAAUGUGUGAUAAUACCAAUCCUUCGACACAAAGUAUAGCGGACUACUUAGCUCAGUUGCUCAAAGACAGGAAGCAACUGGCUGCCUUCCCGAAUGUUUUCAUGCACAUGGAGAGACUUCUGGACGAAGAAAUAGCAAAAGUGCGAGCAAGCUUAUUCCAGAUAAAUGGAGUCAAGAAAGAACCUUUAGUGCUACCUGAAGCAGAUGGCAUGGUCACCACACUCACAGAAAAAGUAUAUGUACCAGUCAAGGAACAUCCAGAUUUCAACUUUGUGGGGAGGAUUCUCGGACCCAGAGGCAUGACUGCAAAACAGUUGGAACAAGAAACCGGAUGCAAAAUCAUGGUCAGGGGCAAAGGAUCUAUGAGGGACAAGAAAAAGGAGGAUGCAAACAGGGGGAAACCAAAUUGGGAGCAUCUGGCCGACGAUUUACACGUACUGCUCACAGUUGAGGACACCGAGAAUCGGGCGAAGAUCAAGUUGGCCAGAGCCGUUGAAGAAGUUAAACGCCUUCUUAUUCCACAAGCAGAUGGCGAGGAUGAGCUAAAGAAACGCCAGUUAAUGGAGCUGGCCAUCAUAAAUGGCACGUACCGCGACUCGAGCGCGAAAGCCGUCGUGCCCGUCAACGGUCAGUGCCUAAUAACCAUUGAUAAUGAAGGGGACUUCACAGCUGAUGAAGAAUGGAGACGCGUGGCCGCUGAGACCCAACGGCUUCUAGCACCGGGGGGUGGAGUGGCUGGGGUUGGGAGCGUAGCUCUACGCACCUCUGCGCCAUUGGGGGCGCCGCUGAUACUGUCCCCGCGCAUGUCGGGGGCACCGGGGACCCAGGCCGGGCUCCUCAACGGCACAGGGGGCGCCGCAGCCGGGCUCCUGUCCCCCGGGGAGCCAGGUCACCAGCUGAUCUACGCGUCCCCGUACGCUGAGUACGCGAACUACGCAGCGCUGACCGCCAACCCGCUGUUGACCGAGGCGUACGCCGCUGCUGACCAUACGGCGUCGAGAUACCUACUUGCUGGCUUUUGACAUUGGCCACAAUUGCAGACCACAAUAAGAUACGGCAGGCUUCCAACUUCAUCGUUUCGGCCAUCGCAUCAUUAUUAGGGCCCAGCAUUUUGUAGGAAAAAAAAAUAACCUUGUCACAGAAACUCCAUAAACUUUACUAUGCAAUCGAUUGUGUACCAUUUAUGCUUUCAUUCUCCUCAGAUCAAACUAUUAAGUAUUGCACAAACUGCAGCGAAUUAAAUUAUAGAUAUGAACUGUCCGAGAAGCAAGGCAACGUUUGGCAUACCUACUGUCAGUUAUACUGAUUUUGGAGUAGCAUAAAGUAAUAUGUGGAUAGGUAUUACAUAGCUGUACCUAGUAAUAUUUUUCCCUAGUGCUGAUGAUUGAAGGGGUUAAUAUUGAAAACAUUUGUUUUAUAAUUCAUACAUAGAUGGUGCCACUUACUUUGACAGCCUUAUUUCGGAAUAAUCUAGAGAUGAUAUUUUAACUCAGUACAAGUUCGUAUAGAUUUUUGGAGUUUACUCCUUAAGAAUCGAUUUUUAGUACCUAUAUAGCCAGCCCCUAAUAUGAAAAAAAUGGGCAGUAAAAUUCGAUGAACGUAUGACAGCGUUACGUUUUUUGUGCGCAACCUAUUCUGCGCACCUAUCACUUUUUAGGCGUUGUAUUAUAGUGUAUGCUGCGGGGUAACAUACACCUAUUUAGACAGUCGAUCUGAAAGAGUAAACUCCAUCCGUGCGUCGGAGCUGACACAAACUUUUUUUUUUAAAUUUACAAGGGUAAGAAAUCAAUAUGGCGGACAGUGGGUAUGCUGAAAGUUACCAUGCCAUUUAUAAUAAUUAUUAAUUCUCUUUGUCAAGGUUAUUUUCACACGUGCUGGGUCUACCGUCCCUGACAGAUUCUCAAACGCCUCUUCUAAAGUCAUAAGAACCAUUAACGUAGUUUAAGUAUUAAAUUAAGAACGAUUUAGUUUAGUAACUCGAACAUUAUUGUGCCUACGUUAUGUUUUUAGUAAAAGAAAAACAUUUGUUUUUUUUUUCUCUUAAACCGUUUUGUACAGUAACACAAAGUAUAUUUUGUUUCCGAACGAACAAAGAUUAUUAUUAUUUAUUAAUUAUUAUCAUUAUUUACAUGAAUUAUUUUAAUUUAUGAUAUUAUAUUUAUUGCGAAUUUUAUUUUACCGUUGUACGCGUUACAGUGUUUUUAUAGAAGCAGUUGACGAUUCGAAUAGAAAAAGUUAUUCUAGUUAAACGUAUUUGCGACUGCCAGUAGAUUGCUUUAGUUACCGAUCUUUCGUAUACAUUUAGGUUUCGAAUUAUAAUUAUUAUUAUAUGAUUAUGUUACACUACCAACACUUUAUUGUGCAGUGGCGUGCACUAGAGAUGGACUAGGGCAGGCACGAACUAAACAGAUGAAAAAAAUAAAAAAAUAUUUUCGUCAAUAGUUCGUAAUGAGUGUAGAAAGUAUGCAGUGCAUUUGUGCAUAUGUGAAGUGCACGUCACUGUUGCAGUGGCAUUGAACAAAUACACCAUUUUCUAUUGUGAUAACCCUCGCUUGUAAUACCACUAAUCCAUUAACAAUGUAAAAGUGUUCACAUGUAGGAUCGUCACAUAAAAUAACUACAUACCUGUAAUAUUUACACAAACUACAUGCAUGUUUUAAGAUCUGUUGAGGUGUUCUGUAAAUAAAUUGUUGUGUUUCGACAGUGAAUGUUUCGAACGUAGACAGAGUAAGAAAUAGACGAUUGAUUGGCAUGCCGCUAUCAGCCAAAAGAUAUUUGAUUUUGACGUGAUUUUCACGCUGUCAACGCACUAAAUUAUUUUUUUACUAUUUUAUAUUUUAACCUAACUGUACUUAUAAUAAUUGCAAGAUUUUAGGUUGUAACCUUGUGCUCAACUACUUAUGUUUUUUAAUAAAAGCAUAAAUAUCUAUUACUGAAUGACUAUUUUCAAACUCGUUUGAUUUGUUUAUUAUAUGGUCUGAAAAUACAGCAUCAUGGUAUAAAAUAUCGAAGCGCCUUGUCUCGAUAAUUUACAGAGUCCACGCAUAAGUUGCUCUUUUUUUUGAGGAAAUCUUCUAUUACGUCUAUUGCUUUAACUGUCUACGAUUUUAAAUAAUAUAUGACUCUCUGUCUCUUUAGUACGCUGUUAGAUAAAAAUAGACGCAAAUUAGUUUAGGACAUUGUCGAGUUAACAAUUUUUACAGAGCAGCUAGACAGAACCUUAUUAGAUUUCCCAGUAUGUGAUUAACAUAGUGUUUUUCAUUUUUUAAUUAACACUUAAAUUUACUGAAUGACAAUAUAAUUCAGACAAACAAUCCAGUGAUUACAAGCAAAAGGGACCAAAUAAAAAAACGUAUUUUUACAAACAUAAAACACAAACGUAAUAUUUUUAACGAUUAACAACACUGACUACUAAAAAUAUUACAAACAUUUUAAUGGUAGACAUGGAAAAACAACAUUCUAUAUUACAAGUUUUCUACCUUAUAAUAAUAACGUAACAUUUUAUAUAAUCACCCGAACGAAAAUGUUAUAUUAUUGUUAUAAUAUUAUGUCGUAAUUUAUUAAUUUAUUAGCCAUAUUAUUAUUAUAUUUAUGAACAUACCAUAGGAUUAAGUAUUAUUUUUAUCUUUUAAAGAUUUUUAGAUAGUUUAGUAAAGAGUGAGCUUUAUGAAAAAAAUAAUAAUAAACAGCCGUUUAUUAUAGGUAUUCUUAUAUUCACAAAUUUUAUUUUUUUCCAAGGUUUAUAUAAAACAGACUUGCAUUGUACCUUGAACGGGUAUAUCGAUACCUGACAUAUUAAUGUUUUACUUUUUCCAAAGCAAUACAAUUUAUUAUAGAGUAAAUUCUAGGCAUAGAUAAGCAUUAUAGUAGAAAUUAGUCGUACUGCCAAAAGUAAUUGUCGUUUAAUUUAAAAUAACACGAAACCACGUUGGCAGUAUUUAUUUUAUUUUAGAUAUAUUACACUGUAUGCAAAUUAAAAGAUGUCAAGAGAUCUAUAAUAAAUUUAAUGAGAUUAAAUUUCUUUUCAGCAUUUAUUUUUAAGGGCUACCCAGGUUGUUCGAUUUUUUUUUAAUUGAACUAUCUCUUCAUUCCUUGAACACGUUACUAACAAAAAUUUUUAAUGAUUUGUUUAGAUGAAACAAUGAACCCUGGGCAUGCCAUUCGAUGUCUAUUGGUUGAGUUGUCAACGCUCUAUUCAGACACAGAUGAUAAAUGUCCUAUGCCGCUAGGUCUCGUGCGGAGAGCGGGUCGGCUGGCGCAAGUGAGGGAGCACCCUUACCAGCGCACUGCCUUACCGGCGCCUUAAUUCGCGCGAAAACACUCUCACGCCGCCAUUUUGUUUACAAGGUGCGUGACGGCGCCGAGGCACUAACCGGAGACGGCGCCCCCGCACCGGACCUUUCUCGCCGCGUAACAUUAUCAUCGGAACAUCGACCACCAUGUACUCGUAGCUAUAGCUGUUGGGCCUUUCACGUUUAACAUGUACUAUGUAUUUUAAUAGUCUAACUAUUAACAUUUAUAUGCCUGUUAUGUUUAUAACAAGAUGAUCUUUAUUAACAAUUUUAUAUUAUUUUUUUUAUAGUGGCACACGCCAUCGACUAUAUUUACUGUAUUGUAAUGUACUUCUGUUGUCGCUUGACGUUGUUGUUGGAGCACGAGUGUUGUUAGGUUACCCUACCUACCGCGGCGCUAAAUUUAUUUUAAAUAUCUCUAGUUUAGUUAUUUAUUAGAUCUAGUUUAUAUAGUUUCUCGAAAUAUUUAAAAAUAUCAAUUAUUAUUAUUAUUAUAUCGUUAAUCAAAUUUGGCGCCGUUAUUUACAAACGUUGAGAGAUAUUGUUUGAAUUAUCAAAAGUCUAAAAUUAUCCUUGACAUUGACUCAAUUUGGUAGACUUGAAUCACUUUGGUAAGACGUAUAUUUAGCUGACUGCUAUCUGAGUGCAUGAUUAUUAUUUGUAGCUCAGGAUGAUGGUAAGUUCUUUAUUAAUAGUAAUCGUACAGUUUUACACGAAUUGUAUAAUGAGUAUAGUACAAACUACGUAGACGGAUACGGAGAUGAGAAGAAACAUGGCGUCUCCAUAAUAAUCAUGAGUUUAUGGCAGAAUAGCGGUAACUAAAUGUAAGUAUGAAUAACAGAUUGUAAGAUUUUAGCUUAACUAUAAAUCUACUUAUAUGGUCGAGUGAUAGUUAUAUGAUUUAUUUUCAUUUACUCAACAAUUGUUCAGUUUUGGCUACACUUUAACUUUAUGCCAAAGAGUCAUAACUUAUUUGUAAUGUAUGACUUAAACUUAAUGUCUUCCCUAUAUUAUAUUGUUAUUCUAUCCAUAUUACAAAUCAUUUAUAAAAAAUAAAGUUAGCUCUUGAUUCGGAUAGUGUAAUAAUAUCCACACAAUAUCAUAUUGAUGAGUAAAUGAUAAUAACGAUAGUUUUUUUUUUACUUUUAGUUGAUAUUAUAAUAUUUAAAAGUAAUCAUUAUAUUUUAUACUUUAUAGUGCUUAAUUUACAUAACAAAUCAAAUUAUGCACAUCCCAAGUGCCUUAAAUAAUGUACAAUGUUUUUACUUUUUUGGUUCUAUAGAAACUGUUAAUAUUGCUUAUAGUUGAUAUUAGCUUUUUGUUAACUUUGCUAUGUUAUUAUUGAUAUCUAAUUCAUCAAUCGUCAAUGAAGUAACUCGUUAUAGUUUAUUUGCGUUAUAGAUAUGACCAAUAUAGUCCAGAAAAAUUAGCCAAAGAGUCGUAAUCAUAAUGAGAGAAUCUGCUACAAAUUCAUGUAAACCUUUAAAAUUCGACUCAAGUCUCAUUAUCGCGUUUUAAGAUGUUGCAAAGAUCCGGUUUUUUGGCAAAUAACUUUGAAAAAAUUUUGAGCACAAUCUUUACAAUUGUUAGUAUAAAUUAAUUUUUCAGCGCUUGACCAUUGUUGAACUAUGAAAACCUGUUAAAACUGUUAAUUGAAGUGAACAAAAGUAACGCAAAUUAACUAUUACCUUAUAUUUUAUACGAGAUUGCUUAGUUUUCAAGAGCAUAUUUUCAUAAGCCUUCGUUGUAAUCUCUCGAGAGAAUCUCUGACAAGCUGAAUAUUUAAUAAUCUUGCAAUUUCAUCAAUUUGAUUUUUAUAAGCGUUAUGAAAUUUAUACCUUUAAUGAGAUAUAUUUUUACAUGAAUAUUUCGAAUCACCAAUCCGAUGUUUUUUACAAGAUGUCCCUAUUUAAUAUGAAAUUUUAGAUUAGGUAUAUUGAUUUAAUAAGUCCUAUUCGGGAAAAUUAAUACACUACGAAUAAGUUGGUAUUGUACAAAAAUAAUUAUCAAGAGAAAUAUCCUCGAAUAGUUCGCUUUUCUAUAGCUACAAAAGAAAAUGGACUUUACAUAUACCUACUACACAAAAUAUAAAAAUACAAUUCUAUAUCAUUCAGUCCUUUAAGCUUAAAAUAGCUGCGAUUGUCAAUCUUAUAAAAAAAUCCUUUACGUAAUUGAGUUAUUUUGUAAUUUUUUAUGUCGAAACCUUUUAAUCAGUGGUGUAACUAUACCAUCAAAGUCCCAAUGAGCAUUCAUUGUGCUCCUAAAAUUAGCAUCUUUUUAUUUUAGAUAUUUCUGAGUCCGUGGUAUUUUACCAGACCUGUCACGUUAUCACUACCUUCACCACUGUUAUUAAGAGAAAAUGCUUUUUGAUUGGCAAAAAUAUACUGAUACAUAUUAAAUUACUAGAACUCGAAAUCAAUAUUGCAAUCGACCUCUGGGGCAAUUAUUUUCUUAUAUUAUAUCAUGUAGUUAUAUAAUUGUUAUGUACAUAGCUUAUAUAAUAUUAUAGUACUGUUAAAAGCAAUAAUACGUCAAUAAUAUACUAUAAAUUAACGCUAGUGCAAUAGAUGUUAUUUGAAAUUGAUAUUUUAUAGAAAAUUCUCAAUAUAUAAAUGUUUGAGUGAAAAUAAUAAUAAUUAUAACAGUUCAGCGAGAUCUGAUGUUGAGAUUAAUGAUUAUAAGGAACCUUUAGAAAUAUCAUAUACCUAAUAUAACUUUAACAACAAAAAAUAUUAACAAGUAUUUCGGGCCGAAGUAAUUAUUAUGGCAUAAUUAAAUACAAAAAUAUACUUUAGGGCCAAAUUGAAAUUGUAGCUAAAUUGUUAUUCUAUUAAGUGACGAUUUCAAUAGCUCUGUCUAAUAUGAGUUACUGAUUAUCUUCCUCUGUUAUUUACCCCAAUUUGUUCGUUUUCCUAAUUUUGCCAGGCUGCUUUUUGACGUGACAACGUCUUAUAAUUCGAUGGAGGCGGCUGCACACUCCAAAAAAGAUGGCGUCAUGCGUCAUUCCCUCGCCAACUUUUCUAGGGUUGCCAACUUUUUUUACAAGAAAUAAAGUAAAUUCUGGUCUAUGAAGAUUAUUAAACAGUAUUUUAAAAAAACUAACAUUUUCCUUAGAAAAAUGCAACCAUUCCAUCAGUACCUUUUUAUGACGUUGUCACGUUCAACUAUCGUCAGCAAACCGACUUUACAGACAACCGAUUUUUUUACUGUCAUUAAUUACUUUGCCCGUAUUAUUAACAUUAAAGUUUAUUAAGAUUUAUAUAAGCUAAAUUUAGAAGAUAUAUUUUUAUUGUAUAACAUAAAACAAUGAAUUCCGGAAUGAGCUAACUUUUAUAAAAAUUGAACAUUUUUAGAUUUUUCUUAAAUACAUAUUUAAAAAAAUCAUAUGAAUUCGAUUACUGUAAAAACUAAACAUAAAUUCAAAUUUUAUUUAAAUUUUACAAACCUUGAAGUUGUUAACACACUCCGUCCAUGAUUACUUCAUUAUUUAAGUACUUAAUACGAUGGUCUCUUGUUCAUGUGACCGUAAAAUAUCAAUGUAACAUUUGUGUUAACAUUUGAAUCUUAAUAUUUAAUAUCUUCUUUAGAAAUACAUAUUAUGGAUUGGCUUUUUUAAUCAUUAAAAUGAAAUUAAGAAAAUAUUAUACUAGGCUAAGAUUAAACUUUUCUACUUUUUUCACUAUUUCAGAAAUAAAAUUAAAUGUUUUAUUUAGAACACCUUGUUGUUAUAAAAUAAUGUUAAUUGUAUUUUUUAAAAAUUAUUAUUCUAAUUUACCAAUCCUUUUUUUUUUUGGAAAAUCUCAAUGUAAAUUGCUAGAACUACACCCAAAUAAGUAAUUUAUUAUUUAUGAUCUGAUUUUUUUCUCAAACAGUCACCAUACUAUAUUUAUGGUGCUAGAUUGAUUGUUUAAUAGCUAUAAAAAAUCAUUAAAAAGGAGCAAAAUAUGAACUACCCGUUCCAAGUGGCUAUUAUUUUUUUAAUAAAAAAAAAAUAUAAAACCCAAAAAAAAAUGUAAAUUAAUUUAUAAGUCCGUUUUCUAAUUAUUAUUAUCUGUAUAUUGUACAAAACUGAAUAAUAAGAUAAAAGCAUUUACAAAAUAUUUUGAGGCCAUAGUUUUGAAUGAAAAUUCAAUGUCGUGGUCAAACCAGGAGGUUAAUUGCGCAACGUAUUCGAAAUUAAAUUAAAUUUUCGGUCCUUGCAUUCAUUUCCUGUAAUUGUAAUAGGGAACUUAUAUUUAUAUACAAAAUUAUAAUUAGUUAACGUUGAUUGCAAGUGCGUUGUGAAUUAAACCACAAAGUAUCAAUAGUAUAUUGUGAUUAAAAAGUUAAUAUCGUACAAAGAUAAUGAGGGUCUGUUGCCUGUUAAUAGUUAUUUUACGUUGUUUCAAAACGAAUUCGUGAAACAAUAGACAAAUUUGUGAACUGCUAAAAUUCAAGAUGGCUGCCAAUUUUAAAUUCCAAAAUAUCAUCAAUUUCCGAGAAUGUUUUGUUCAUGUGAAUAUUUUUUUCUAAAUGAUUUGUUAAAUUUUGAUAAUCUGAAGAAAUAUAAUUAGGCGUCAUUUGGAAAUUCAAGUUUAUUUUUGGUAUAUUUGAAGUAGGCACUUUGGUUGUGCCCAUACUAAAAUUCUUAAUAUUUCCUAUGCCACUCUGGUUUACGAGUAUAUAUUUAGUUAAAGACGAUACGCAUUAAUUUCUUGUCUAGCAGCAGCUAUCUGUUACGAUUCGUGUUAUUUGUGAUCUAAUUGCUGUAGUUUCUCAGUCAUAGAUUAAAAAUGCAGUUCAUCUAUAUUGUUUAUGUUUGAAACAUUUUUGUGCCAUCAACAAACGGACUUUCAUUUUAUAUUUUUAUUUGUACUUAUACUUAAAUUGUGGCAAAUCACACAAGUGCCUUAAAAUUAACUUUGUAAAUAUUUAUAUGAUAUUAUAAUUUUUUUUUUCAAAGUAUUAUAUAAAUAAAGGAGAAUGAAUUAUUACAAUUGUUUUCCAAAAACAAAAUAGAGUAUAUUUAAUUAAAUGAUUUAGUUAAGUGAGAUUGUGCAUAUUACUUAUGUCUGUUUUGAUGUGUGUUUAAGAUUGAUUUGGCAUUAGUAAAUAUAUUAUUUAGAAAAUGUAA
RNA transcript from Bicyclus anynana (squinting bush brown), 9611 nucleotides. It is a transcript of the gene named protein held out wings, with no coding region annotated. The record is from RefSeq and is a predicted model, not a curated record. Lineage: Eukaryota; Metazoa; Arthropoda; Insecta; Lepidoptera; Nymphalidae. The transcript has 8 exons.